RNA transcript from Dunckerocampus dactyliophorus (ringed pipefish), 3154 nucleotides. It is a transcript of the gene named carbonic anhydrase XIV, with no coding region annotated. Lineage: Eukaryota; Metazoa; Chordata; Actinopteri; Syngnathiformes; Syngnathidae. The transcript has 12 exons. The record is from RefSeq and is a predicted model, not a curated record.
CUUUUUGAGUCCCCCCCCUCCUCUCUCUCUCUCUGUGUCCCUUUCUGUCCCCCUCUCGCGCUCUCCCUUCACUCCUCAUCCCUCCGUCUGCUGUUAUUCAUUCGUGCGUGUGUGGGCAAGGAGGGCAAACAUGGAUUCUGUCGUGGUUCUUUUUAUCCUUCUUUUGCGUCCCGGCCUCCGGUGGACGGCUGCUGCCGAGGACAUGAGCUGGACCUACACCGGUCUCGUGGGUCAGUCUCAGUGGUCGGAACAUUUCCCAGAGUGUGGCGGCAGCUCCCAGUCUCCAGUGGAUGUGGUGACCACUCAAACAAAAUAUGACCCCGGCUUGCCCCCCCUCACCCCCCUGGGCUACAGUCAGCACGGCAACAGACCCUUCACCCUGUACAACAACGGACACACAGCUGUGAUCGAGCUGCCGGACUGGAUGAGCCUGGAUGGGCUGCCCUGGCUCUUUUCUGCGGUACAAAUGCACCUUCACUGGGGCAGCGGCGGCCCGAGUUACGGUGGCAGUGAACACACCAUCAACGGCCAGAGCGCCGAGGCAGAGCUGCAUGUGGUGCACUACAACUCCGAACUCUACCCCAACAUGUCCGCAGCCAUGACGCAGAGGGACGGCCUCGCUGUCCUGGGAAUCCUCAUUGUGACAGGUGAGGAGACCAACCCGGCGUUUAACAACAUCAUCAACUACCUGAGCCGCGUCAGACAUGCCAACCAGAAAGUCUUCAUACCGGCCUUCGACGUGCAGUCGCUGCUCCCCAAGGAUCUGGACCGGUACUAUCGCUAUAACGGCUCCCUGACGACGCCACCCUGCUUCCAGAGCGUGAUCUGGACACUCUUCCACGAGAGGGUUCAGAUUUCCAAAGCUCAGCUGCUGAAGAUGGAGACCAUCCUUUACUCCAGCAAAGCUGACGAAGCAGACAGGAUGCUGCUGCAGGACAACUACCGCGCCACCCAGCCGCUCAACCACAGGGCCGUCUUCACCUCCUUCGCUGCAGACUCAGGGAAGGAGCUCUCGUCUGCGGUCAUACAUGCUGAAUGGAGGCAGAGGCUGCGGGGCUGUAGGGCGCCUGGAAUGCUGUAAAUGAAUCUUCAGACGAGGAGGAAUAUGUUUUAAAAAGGAUACAAAAACACGACAGCCCAACGGUGCCAGGACACGCCACGAUCCUUGUGUCCAAUCUCGUAAGUUGAUCAUUAAAAUUCACUAUGAGAGUGUUUAAACAAGAGAGAAAUGCGAUAAAAUGUCAAUGCCUGUUUGAGAAAAGUCUGGUGAGGAGAUUUCACAGCCUUAAAACAUAUAAUAAUUGGACAAAAAUAAAAUUGGCUACUUUGCGGAUUUCACAUAUUGCCGGCUAUUUUGGGAACCUAUCCCCUGUGAUAAAUGAGGGACCACUGUACUCCACAUCCCCAAACUCCCACUUUCCCCAAAGUUGGAAUUUUUCCAUACAGCGUUUUAGUUUACUUCAACAGAAAUUCCCUUUUAUUGUGACACGUUUCACAAGGCCUUGGCCAUGCUCACUUUCCCACGCUAUUCUUCCAAAAUAACGACAUGCUUGUGAAAGUUGUCCCACCAGAUCGGGUCUUGUCCCAAAUCGCCAUCGUUGGCGGGGGCGUCAUUGCCGUAGCGAGCAAAACAGCAGCACUAGCGUCCUCCGAAGCGUCUUUGUCAAAUUCAAGGGAAAGUGGCCUGUGUUUAUCCUUAUUCACACAAAAAUCAUUUCAGUAUGCAUGAAAGCAGCAAUGUUAUGUUUGCCAUUGCACACAUUAAGGAGGACCAUAAUUGUUACGUCAUCUGUCAGCAACAAGCCAAAAGCUCCGUCUUUGCCAUUCACACGAAUACGCUGAAGCCAGAGUUUUCAAAAAUCUGAGACUGACGCUUUUCCUCUUUUCCUCUUUUCUGACCUAAAAAUGUUGUUACAAUGUUGUAUUCUCGUGUUAAACGACGCCAACGCGUCAGAUAAUGACAUGUGCUCAUUUGGAAGUGAGCCCUGAAAGCAGGACGGCUCUGCACGCUGUGUUUUACAGACGUCAACGCAACCCGGACUUCCUUAUAUGGGCAUGUCCUGCAUGAGCCGGGGCUCUGCUACGCUGUGUUCACGGUGUUAGCACGUUGAGCAAUGGCUCCUGGGAAAUGUUUCUUGGGUGUGCCUAAAGAGGCUAGCAUCAGGCAGAAGUGGUUGGAAUUGCUGAUUCCCGGCAAACGAGAGAAAAAUAUGCUCAUCUGUGAACGACGCUUCACAUGGUUUUGUGAACACGGGUCAAUACGAAGCCGGACUAGCCGCCAAACUGUUGCCGUACUCUGACGCCUUUCCAACGUUACUUGGUCGUGUUGAAGAGUCAGAAGAGCAAGCGUACGUAACAAUUUAUCAGUGUCCUAACUUUAUUUAUUUUGUGUAAGUAAUCGGACAAAAAAGGUUCGCAAGCUGUCCGGAAGUCCUCGGGAGCGCUUGGGAGUGUGACCAAUCACAGCGGAGUGUGCUCGGCGGGAGGUGUACCUGGAGGAGGGCUGGGGGUGGAGUAAAUUACACAGGCCGUUAGGGCGGGAGGCAGGAAACACUGCAGGAAGAGGUGCAGAGUCUGGAAGAUCUAGAAAGCGUUCUGUGCGGGUUAUCAUGUGUAGCUGAUCUACAGGAGUCCACAACUCAAUACAAAGGCCCGAAAAUGAGUGUAAUAGGUCCCCUUUAAGGACAAAAACCUCCAUUUGCGUGUGGAUGACUGACCAAAAUGCAUAGAAAAAUAUGCAUUUAAAAAAAGUACGUAUUUGUGUGGACAUGACGUGAGACUGCUGCCCUGCCGAGACCCAGACUCGGGAAAGCGGAAGAAAAUGGAAUGGAAAACUCCCGGUCUUCUAAAAAUUCCCAUUGAAAUAACUGGCAAUGUUCCCAUUCAAACAAUUUUAGCAUCAAAACCUUCAAGCUGACAGUUUCCCACAUUGUCUGUUCAGCUUCAGCUUUUCCCACAGAACUUUCCUUCUCCAGGUAUUGAUGGGUUUUGUCCCACAGGUGAGGUGACCGCCAUUGUGAUAGGAGUGAUGUGUGGCUGCGUCGGUCUGGCAGUCAUUGUUCGCUUCAUCGUCAAGACCAUACGCUCUACCUCUAGCUGGGACGUCCUUACCAAUAACCGGGCAGCACCAAUGCAAAGGAUGAAGGAGCCCGAG